CCUACGGGUGGCAGCAGUGGGGAAUAUUGGACAAUGGGCGAAAGCCUGAUCCAGCCAUGCCGCGUGUGUGAAGAAGGCCUUCGGGUUGUAAAGCACUUUCAGUGGGGAAGAAAGCCUUGGGGCUAAUACCCUCGAGGAAGGACAUCACCCACAGAAGAAGCACCGGCUAACUCCGUGCCAGCAGCCGCGGUAAUACGGAGGGUGCGAGCGUUAAUCGGAAUUACUGGGCGUAAAGCGCGCGUAGGCGGUCUGAUAAGCCGGUUGUGAAAGCCCCGGACUCAACCUGGGAACGGCAUCCGGAACUGUCAGGCUAGAGUGCAGGAGAGGAAGGUAGAAUUCCCGGUGUAGCGGUGAAAUGCGUAGAGAUCGGGAGGAAUACCAGUGGCGAAGGCGGCCUUCUGGACUGACACUGACGCUGAGGUGCGAAAGCGUGGGUAGCAAACAGGAUUAGAUACCCCGGUAGUC
This 465-nucleotide ribosomal RNA is filed under the name Vreelandella stevensii. RNAcentral's name for it is "partial 16S ribosomal RNA". It matches the Rfam family "Bacterial small subunit ribosomal RNA", at positions 338 to 795 of the family's 1533-position model. Lineage: Bacteria; Pseudomonadati; Pseudomonadota; Gammaproteobacteria; Oceanospirillales; Halomonadaceae. The record is from RNAcentral.